Molecule: ribosomal RNA, 485 nt
Filed under: uncultured bacterium
Lineage: Bacteria
Description: partial 16S ribosomal RNA
Rfam family: Bacterial small subunit ribosomal RNA
Source: RNAcentral
AUUGAACGCUGGCGGCAUGCCUUACACAUGCAAGUCGAACGGCAGCACGGGUGCUUGCACCUGGUGACGAGUGGCGAACGGGUGAGUAAUACAUCGGAACGUACCUUAUCGUGGGGGAUAACGCAGCGAAAGUUGCGCUAAUACCGCAUACGCCCUGAGGGGGAAAGCGGGGGACCGUAAGGCCUCGCGCGAUUAGAGCGGCCGAUGUCUGAUUAGCUUGUUGGUGAGGUAAAAGCUCACCAAGGCGAUGAUCAGUAGCUGGUCUGAGAGGACGAUCAGCCACACUGGGACUGAGACACGGCCCAGACUCCUACGGGAGGCAGCAGUGGGGAAUUUUGGACAGUGGGGGCAACCCUGAUCCAGCAAUGCCGCGUGAGUGAAGAAGGCCUUCGGGUUGUAAAGCUCUUUUGUCAGGGAAGAAACAGCAGCUCUAACACAGUCUGCGAAUGACGGUACCUGAAGAAUAAGCACCGGCUAACUACGUG